RNAcentral lists this long non-coding RNA (363 nucleotides) under Volvox carteri. Its description in RNAcentral is "long non-coding RNA (VCAR_LNC000070)". Lineage: Eukaryota; Viridiplantae; Chlorophyta; Chlorophyceae; Chlamydomonadales; Volvocaceae. The record is from RNAcentral.
GCCGCCGUCGACGGCGGCUCCGUCGGCGUCGCCGUACGAACGGACAUCAAGAAGCCGCUGUUGGCUAUGAUGUGCGUCAGAGGGCGAGGGGACCUCCUGGGGCCACUGGCGUCGUCUUCAACCCCCUGACCCCGCCGCUCGCGCCAGUCGUCGACUCCGCCGCCUCCGCCGCCGCUACCGCUACCGCAGCUAAAGCGAACGGCCCUGUUGCCGCGCCGCGUAGCCCCGAGGGCCUUGUUGGUGACGACGGCAGUUCCUUCUUCCGGCGGGAGCUGCUCGACCGCGGUGGCCGUUGCAGAUCCGAGACCGCCCGGUGACCUAACCGCCCUUGUUGUGCGUGGUUUCUCCGCCUGUGCCUGCUCC